Molecule: ribosomal RNA, 406 nt
Filed under: uncultured bacterium
Lineage: Bacteria
Description: partial 16S ribosomal RNA
Rfam family: Bacterial small subunit ribosomal RNA
Source: RNAcentral
AUUGAACGCUGGCGGCAGGCCUAACACAUGCAAGUCGAACGAGUGGCGGACGGGUGAGUAAUGUAUGAGAAACUGCCUGAUGGAGGGGGCUAACUACUGGAAACGGUAGAUAAUACCGCAUACCAUCGGAUGUGCCCAGAUGGGAUUAGCUUGUUGGUGGGGUAACGGCUCACCAAGGCGACGAUACCUAGCUGGUCUGAGAGGAGGACCAGCCAAACUGGAACGGAGACACGGUCCAGACGCCUACGGGAGGCAGCAGUGGGGAAUAUUGCACAAUGGGCGCAAGCCUGAUGCAGCCAUGCCGCGUGGAUGAAGAAGGCCCUAGGGUUGUAAAGUACUUUCAGUCGGGAGGCGUUACCGACAGAAGAAGCACCGGCGAACUCCGUGCCAGCAGCCGCGGUAAUUC